UUGACCUCGGAUCAGGUAGGAAUACCCGAUCAGGUAGGA
RNAcentral lists this ribosomal RNA (39 nucleotides) under Fusarium graminearum. RNAcentral's name for it is "partial 28S ribosomal RNA". Lineage: Eukaryota; Fungi; Ascomycota; Sordariomycetes; Hypocreales; Nectriaceae. The record is from RNAcentral.